CGUGCUCGCACCGCACCCAAUCCCAUCCUCUCCCCUGGUCGUCCCGAUCCACACCAGCCGCCGCACAACCCUAGCCCCUUUCCCCUCGAUCCCCACAGCCCCUCCCUCCUCCUCGCUCUCCGCCAUGGCCUCUGCACUAGGAGCCUCUCCAUGGCCUCCUACCCAUCCCCCCCACCACCAUAGGUGUACACAGAUGGUGGAUCCGUGCCGGAGAAGAGCAGCUCCAGUUAUGGUGGGGUGCAUCUGUGCCGAAGAUGAAGGAGGUCCGCUACCCGUCUUUGCCUCCUCGUUGCGUCCUUGUUGCUCCUCCUCCUCUCUCUCUCUCCGCACCUAGCAGUGCAGCAGCCGGAACAAGGGGAAGGAGCAGCCCGACCCGGCUCCAUCUCUCUCCUUCAUGCAGGAGAACUGGAUGAGCAGGUGGCGAGGGAAGCCGCCACGGCUAGCGGCGGCGCUGCACAGGAACGUCCACCUCCAGGGACCAGAUCUUGGCUAUGAUCUAUGCUGCUGAUUUGGCUAUCAACUGCUAAAUCUACGAAUCAUUCAAAAUGUUUUGCCUAACUGCACAAGCUUGCAUAUGACCACUGGGCCAUGUCUCUUGAUUUUACUACUGCUAUGGACAAAAGAAGGCUAAAGCUGGGAAAGACAACAAUGUCAGGAGCCAACCGAGGUAAAGAAACCUAAGUUGACAAGCAGGGCGUACUCCCCUCUGCAGUUAUUUUUCUCUGCUAUUCAUUGAGCAUAUCAGGAGAUUGAUAGACAGUGUGAGAACUGGUACAUAAAAUAAUUUAAGAACAUUAAUCUGAAUCACAUAGUGGUUCCUAACAUUUAGCAUUUCUAAAAUUUGCCAUUUUUAGAUAGACAGUGUGAGAACUGGUACAUAAAAUAAUUUAAGAACAUUAAUCUGAAUCACAUAGUGGUUCCUAACAUUUAGCAUUUCUAAAAUUUGCCAUUUUUACCUAGAUCCAAAAUGCCGAGAAGCAGGGUUUAUUUUCUCUCAUCACCAUAACAAAGGUAUGCAGUCCAUUCUUAUAUUAUUUUUUUACAAUGGCAUUAUGCACAUAACCUGUCUGAUGCAAUGGACAAUCGGAUAUUUGUGGUUGGUAUAAAUCAUUUUAAUGCAUAAAAGAAGAGUUGGUAGGUUUUGACAUGAACAUGAUGAAUUAUUGCGGCCUUGUUGUUUCUUGAAUGGUAGUGUGUAGAAAGUUUGUUUUGCUCUUGAAAGGUGUGUGUGAGAGUUCGAGGGAAGAAACUAUUGCUUUACUUAUGUUUCAACUCCAGUGAGGCAUGUUUGAACGGUAGUGAAAAUAUGGUGCUUAUUUUUAUUUUGCUGAUUUGAGGAUAUUGGUAGUAGAAUGUCCUUUUGGGCUGGUCUUGCGGUUCAUUCAGUUUCAAGGGAAAAGAUAUAUGUGUGGUUUCUUUGCUUUACAGAAGAUGCAUUAUAUGAUGUCUUCAUCUUGGUAACCAUUACCAAUUUUACAUUCUGUGGUGAAUUCUAAAUCAUGCUAGGCAAUGUUGUCUUUUAAUAAGUUGUCAUAUUGUACGCAUGAGUUCUCUAAAAUUCCUGGGUGGUUUAUUCUAUUAUAAAGCUAGAAAAGAAGCAGCAAUGGGGAGUUGUUUAAGGACGGACAAAAGCCAUGAGUUGUUUUGCUGGGAAAAGAAACAAGUAAUAUCACAUUCUGAAGGUUCAUUUUCAUCUAUACGGGUCAGGAGUCCUUAACAUGUGAAGUAUCAUAGGUUUCUAACCAUGUACAUAGGUCAUACACAGCUAAGCACUCGAGCUAUGAUUAUUGUUAUGUAUGGAUUAAUAGUGAUAAUCAUUGUUUGGUUCAGGCAUUGAACAGCUAAAACUAACUCAAAAGUAUAUGUUGUUUCAAAAUAAAUGAUGUACCUAAAGAACUUUAUUGAUGAUCAGGCGUGCAUUUCGAAUGCAUUUGAAUCAAAUUCAGAAUGCCUGAGGAUUGAUUUUUUCUGUUGGUCAUGUUGUAAAAAUAGGAAGCAGCUUCUCACGAGCUAACCUUUUUUUUGCACUUGUUGUACCAAGGAAAUCUGUUCUCCCGUGAGUACAGUUCGAUUGUGUGUACCCAGAGUUUUUUUGGUGCUUACAGGACAAAAAAGUUAUAUUUACUUUGAUUCAUCUAUUUGCAGCAAAAAAAAACUUUUUCUUCGUGCAUAAAUGUGUAGUGUUCAUUAUUCAGAUCAAAUCAGUGAGACUGUCGUUUUUGUAUCGGCUUUGAGGGAGGAUGAUGUUUUGUGCAUGUUUCAUUUGCCAUCAAGGCGAUCAUGAUGUUGACUCAUGUCUAAUGCUGAUGGUGAACCGAUUUAUUUCUAACAAAAGAACUAUGAACCUGAGCUUUUCAGUGUCGUUUAUCUGGUGUAGGGGAAUGUGGAUGUUAAAGCAUUUGGUUCUGAUGGAUCAUAUUAUUGGUUCUCUGUUCAACUGAAGAUGGCUUCAGAUAGGACUAACGUUGGAAUAUUCAUGUGUUAUAUGCCAAUAUAGAUUUCUCAAUGUAUCAUUUUGGCACUGUUUGACUGCUGAACAAUAUUGCCAUGCUGAUCAUUUCUCAUGUCUUUGCAAUUUUUGGUCUUUGUUUGAUUUCGUUGUGUGGUGUGCUUCGAUCUAGGUGAGUUGAGUUGCUGCUUGGUUGGAGAUAUUGAUGUCGUUCGAGACGCCCGCUGGAUUCACCCUUUUCAAGGCUCUGAAUAAGGGCAAGCUCGACAAGGUCGAGGUGAGUGUUCGUCACCACCUCAGCUCUUGGUUUGGUUUGGAUUACUCGUGUUUUUUAUUUUGACUGCAAAAUAACUUCUCUUUUCAACACACUUAGUACGUGAUCUAGCAAUCAUAUUUUAUAAUAGAGUAAGUGAGAAAAAGCUCUUUAUUUGAAUGACCAAGAAUCCGUGGUGUGCUCCUGAACUGCAAGAAACACUCCAUUACGAAACUCACUUAAGUAGGCUGAUAGAUGAUACCUUGUCUUAAGCCUAUUUUCUCAAAAUAAUGAGAGGCUGAAUGAUUCAAACACAAGCUGAACCAUCUUUCUCACCUCAUCAUUUCGUUACAUUUGAUUACUGAUUCGUUAAGGAGUUGUUGUUCUGUGUUCACCUAUUUUCCCAAACUGUAUGUACGCAUCGCUCGCAAAAGAAAUCGAUUUAAACCCUGUUCGAAAAAAUUUGGGCUGUUGUAAGGUUGAAAAAAAAUGCAUGUGUUGUCAUGUAAGCACUUGAAUUGAGGAGCAAAAUGAAAAGUAACUCAGCAGUGGAUAAUCUUACCUCAUUAGCCUAGACAAUACUACAGGUAGUAUGCUGUUGCUGGCCCAUAUAUCCCAAGACAGGGUACACAGAUAGCUCUUGACCUUGCCAUAACGUAAGUAGUUCAUUUGGUUAAUCUGUUUUGCGUUUUGACAUGCAUAAUUUGUUGCAUUAUUCUAUUCUUGAUAAAAUGAUGAUAAAAAUGAAAUGAAUCUUCAGUAUUGGGGCUGAUGGUCGGCACUUGUUGUGUAAAUGGAGUACACGCACAUUGCAGCGAUAAAGUUAUUAAUUGUCCCUAUAUAUUCCUCAGUUAGAUCUCUAAUAAAUCAAGAAGUUUGACAAUUGUCAGUAAGUUCAGUAUAUCAUCGUCUGCUUAAUAUUUCGCAAGUGGAAAAAGCAUACAAAUAUUAAUUCUCAGUACAAAGGUGAAGUGUUCAUAUAUAUCAAUGCUUUCACCUCACUUGUCAUGCUGUUAUGAACUAUAUUUUUUUGUGAUUGCUAUAUCAGAAUCAAAUUGACCCAUCCGAUGCUUGACUGUAUCUUAGCAUGCUUAUCGAGUACAUCCCUUAUGUCAUUUUUAGAGAUAAAUUCAUUUGUGUCAAGUAUCGCAUUUUGCCAUAUGAACAUGACAAGUUGUCAUAUAUUGGCCUGUCAAAUUUAUCGGGUGUCAAGUUCACUUGCCAUAUUCUUAAUUCUGUUUCUUCUCAUUUUGAUGUUGGUGUGUGUAUUGUUAGUGAAAAUAUGCUCACCAUUUUUUUUAAAUAUGUGUAUGCCAUUAACUGAUGUCAUUGUUAGUAAUUUGUAUUUGCUUUAUCCGCUCUGAUGAGUUUGUCAGGUUCCUUUCUCAAUAUGCUUAGAUGCUUGUGCAACAGCAGAAGUAAUGGUUGAUUGGUCCAGCCUUUGUGUCGGUUUCAUAUGUAUAUAUGUUGGCCUAGCUAACAUUGUGAGUUAGUAAUUUAUGCUUCUUUUCUUUGGGAUAAUUAUGCCUAGCUGGAAACAAAGAGGAGUCAGGUAUGAUACAACCACGGCGGCUGGCCAGCGACUAACAGGUAAUUUCUCUUUCAAUUUGAUGAUAAUGGAUGAGAAUCAGUUCUAUGAUUGCAGCUUAAUUGCAGCUUAUAAAAGCAGAUGUUGGAAUGUGAUGUACUUAUUCAUCAUGAUAGAUGCAAUUGCUUAUUAGUUGGUGCUCUCGAAUCCUUCUUUAACUAAUUUACUUUGGAGUUUGGACAAAGGAGACUAUUUUUUUAUUCGUUCUGUCAUGGAUUCCCUCUCUAGCCUAUGUAUGUUUCAGAGAUAGGCACACACCUAGGAGAAGCCUGAGAUAUAAUAAUAGUGCUAAGCAAUUACUCUGAUUGUCAUUCUAUGCUAUUAUCACAACACAGGUCAACAGAUAGUCAACAAAUGUGUAAUCAGCUUUGUCUGGGUCCUGCAUCAUCUACUAAUAAUCAAAUUUUGUAGCGAUCGUCUUAUAAAUUAGCAUACCUAUUUCUCCACAUUCGGUAGCUUUUAUUGUGACUACAAAGAAUAUAGUUUGAGGAUGGCAUGCCAAUUCUUCUAUGUCUUAGGUAUGAAGUAAUUUCUAAAAUGUCUUAGGCUUCCCUGUAAAUUAUGCAAAUUUAUGGCAUGCCACUAAAACCUACAGGGUGCUCCACCGAUGGUGAAAAUACCUCACAGGAUGAUGUUGGAUAUUAUUCUACAAACUUUGGGCCUACCGGUGGCUGAAAAUGUGACAGUGGCAUGAUGUGGAUGACUGUAAUUUCCAUACACCAACGUUAUCUUUUGGAGAUAAAAUAGCCGUAUGGCUAUUACAUGAGACCAUGUCAGAAGACCCUGCUGCUAUGGAAGCAAAAUGAUUCAUGAAAUCUGCGGUGAAAACAAAGAUAAGAAACUAUAAUUACAGCAGCAUUAAGAAACCGAGGACACGAAAUGAGUCUAAAAAAUGCUAUGGGCUAAUUCGUUCUAGCUAGGUACAUGCACGACUUAUCUUAUAUAUAUGCAACGUAACAAUGUGGAUAACUAGAACUGUUGUGAUGUUGCUCUAUUAUAAGUACAAAUAAUUCAUGGUUAUCUUUUCUUUGGUUUACAGGCGAUGUGUGGUAGAAGUUGUACUCACAGGAAGACUAUCGUGCUGUGUAUAAACCACAUUCUACGAUUCACUUCUGUUAUGCAUAUUUACUUUUCAGUUUUAGGACCAAAACCCAUCCAUUGUAAUGAAUUUGGUUGUAUGGGCAUUACCUAUUUGACUUAGGCUUGCUUCAUCACAUAUAGACUGCUUUUCUUUUCCCCACUGCUUGUAUGACCUAAAACUAUCAUGUAUAUGAGCCAAGUUAUUAGCAAUGUUUCACAUUUUCUUACUUGCAA
Molecule: long non-coding RNA, 5604 nt
Organism: Triticum dicoccoides
Lineage: Eukaryota; Viridiplantae; Streptophyta; Magnoliopsida; Poales; Poaceae
Exons: 3
Source: RefSeq, a predicted model, not a curated record